AUACGGAGGUGACUAGCGUUGUUCGGAAUUACUGGGCGUAAAGCGUACGUAGGCGGAUCAGAAAGUAUGGGGUGAAAUCCCAGGGCUCAACCCUGGAACUGCCUCAUAAACUCCUGGUCUUGAGUUCGAGAGAGGUGAGUGGAAUUCCGAGUGUAGAGGUGAAAUUCGUAGAUAUUCGGAGGAACACCAGUGGCGAAGGCAGUACACUGGCCUGAAACUGACGCUGAGGUGCGAAAGCGUGGGGAGCAAACAGGAUUAGAUACCCGAGUAGUCC
RNAcentral lists this ribosomal RNA (274 nucleotides) under uncultured bacterium. Its description in RNAcentral is "partial 16S ribosomal RNA". It matches the Rfam family "Bacterial small subunit ribosomal RNA", at positions 523 to 796 of the family's 1533-position model. The record is from RNAcentral.